UGUGAUUAUAUGUAUUCUUGGUUUCUGUUUAAGUAGGCUUCUUUUCAUGUUUAUUUUUCCAUUCUCAUUCUCACCUGAGAAACCUUUUUCUGGACACGUUUGCAGGGGUUGCUUUGAAAACAGGUGAUCAGGAGUCUCCACCUUAUUUCAUAUGAAAUCUGACUAGUCCUUCUCAGAGUCGACUGAGAAUGUCUUACACAUCUCAGAAAUUCACUGGAUCUUUUUGCAGCUGCCACACAUUGGUACCUCAUAACCAUUCUAUCGACCAGCUUGCUUCUCCAUUUCUUACAACUCCAAAUUAAAACAGAAAUUCUUGUCAUUAGCCUGUCUUGUCAUGAUGUUGCAUUUUUGCUUUUAAAUCUCAUCCCAUUCAGUUUUCCAGCUCACAAGGUCAUCUCAUUCUUGCCGUGUCACAAUCUUCUCCUCCUCCAUGCUGGUAACUGUGUCAUCUUUGUAUUUCUUAAUCUAAUCCUUGAACCAAGGUUGCUAUUGCAUGUAUUAAGUGGGAUCAAUCUUACUAAGAAAGCACAUUAUUUUUUCUCAGGUGAUCUACUAGUAAUGAGAAUGUAUUUUAUUUUCUCCCACUUCAGGUCUACCUCCACGCUUUCAAUUACUGCCUCUUCCAAAGUCUGCAGUAUUCAGUGUCAAAAUCACAUGAGUAUGGGUUUAUUAUUUCUCCUUUCUUGGAAUGUGAGUCCUGUGUUUGAUGUUCUCCAGUUUUAUUUUUGCUUGAGCAACAAUGAUCUGGGGUGCAAAAAGAACAAAGUUUUCAAGUAAAGGUUCAUGAAACUAACUGGAAUGAUUGGGAACACUGUAGUUCCCAUUAGUCUAUAAGUUUCAUUAAAAAACUUGCUAUUGNUCUUCUCUUUAUUUUCCACAUUCUUAGCUGAAAAAGAGCCUUUCACUGUGCAUUCUCUUUCCCUUUGAAAGAUUGAGCUCAGGUACUAUUUUUACUGGGUGGCUAACUUGGGAGACAUGGCUUACCUUCUUAAUCAGUCUCUCUUUCUCAUCCUUGAAAGUUUUUUUGCUUACUCCUGGUAUCUUCUUUGAAGUGCUUCCCAUCUUUGCUGUGUUUUUCUCACUUAACAUUCCAAAUAGUUUCAACCUUCUAUUAAAGUUAUUCCUCUAUAUUCUGGAACUCAGUGCAGUCCAAUGAGUUGUGUUAACUUUUCUAGACACUCAGAGUUGGCCUUGUUUAAUCUCAAGCCCUCUUUGUAGACUUAUUUUUAUAUAUCCUGUUAUAUAUCAUUUGACUCAUGAAAAGACAAGUCAGUACACAAGCGCUUGACACAUUUCUCUCUUUAGCCAGCUUUUCUAUAGGAUUAUUGCUGCUUUUAAUUUUUUCACCCCUACUGUUGUCCCUGGUGAGGCUUAUUUUUGAUGAGAGGUAAAGAACUGGAGAAUUCACAUCGUGGAUUAAAGAAUUGCAAACUGCCACAAAAAACCUACUCAAGGGAGUUUAAAUAUUCAGAUUUUGGACAUUAGAUUUAUAAUAUAUUUAUUAGUUCUAUAAAUCUAAUGUAUAAAACCUUAGAAGCAAGGUUCACAUCCAUGGAUUGGACUAGAAAGAGAUGACUGUAGGGGCAGGAUUACCUUUGAAGACAGGCUCAAGGCGAAGGGGAAAAAGGAACAAUCAAAAACUAAUAAAGAUUGUCCUUAAGAGAAAUCGUCGUCA
This 1675-nucleotide long non-coding RNA is filed under the name Calidris pygmaea (Spoon-billed sandpiper). RNAcentral's name for it is "lncRNA (ENSCPGG00000013965.1)". The record is from RNAcentral. Lineage: Eukaryota; Metazoa; Chordata; Aves; Charadriiformes; Scolopacidae.